RNAcentral lists this ribosomal RNA (253 nucleotides) under uncultured bacterium. Its description in RNAcentral is "partial 16S ribosomal RNA". It matches the Rfam family "Bacterial small subunit ribosomal RNA", at positions 524 to 776 of the family's 1533-position model. The record is from RNAcentral.
UACAGAGGUCCCAAGCGUUGUUCGGAUUCAUUGGGCGUAAAGGGUGCGUAGGCGGCGCGGUAAGUCGGGUGUGAAAUCUCGGGGCUUAACUCCGAAACUGCAUUCGAUACUGCCGUGCUUGAGGACUGGAGAGGAGACUGGAAUUUACGGUGUAGCGGUGAAAUGCGUAGAUAUCGAGAGGAACACCAGUGGCGAAGGCGAGUCUCUAGACAACUCCUGACACUGAGGCACGAAAGCUAGGGGAGCAAACAGG